This 375-nucleotide unclassified non-coding RNA is filed under the name uncultured Flavobacteriaceae bacterium. RNAcentral describes it as "contains 16S-23S intergenic spacer region". Lineage: Bacteria; Pseudomonadati; Bacteroidota; Flavobacteriia; Flavobacteriales; Flavobacteriaceae. The record is from RNAcentral.
UCACAGUUUGCACUGGCAGUCUCGUUAGAGUUCCCGACAUGACUCGCUGGCAACUAACAACAGGGGUUGCGCUCGUUAUAGGACUUAACCUGACACCUCACGGCACGAGCUGACGACAACCAUGCAGCACCUUGUAAAUUGUCCGAAGAAAAGUCUGUUUCCAAACCUGUCAAUCUACAUUUAAGCCUUGGUAAGGUUCCUCGCGUAUCAUCGAAUUAAACCACAUGCUCCACCGCUUGUGCGGGCCCCCGUCAAUUCAUUUGAGUUUUAACCUUGCGGCCGUACUCCCCAGGCGGUCAACUUAAUGCGUUAGCUGCGCCACCCAAGCACUAAGUGCCCGGACAGCUAGUUAUCAUCGUUUACGGCGUGGACUAC